UAGAACGCUGAAGAGAGGAGCUUGCUCUUCUUGGAUGAGUUGCGAACGGGUGAGUAACGCGUAGGUAACCUGCCUUGUAGCGGGGGAUAACUAUUGGAAACGAUAGCUAAUACCGCAUAACAAUGGAUGACCCAUGUCAUUUAUUUGAAAGGGGCAAAUGCUCCACUACAAGAUGGACCUGCGUUGUAUUAGCUAGUAGGUGAGGUAACGGCUCACCUAGGCGACGAUACAUAGCCGACCUGAGAGGGUGAUCGGCCACACUGGGACUGAGACACGGCCCAGACUCCUACGGGAGGCAGCAGUAGGGAAUCUUCGGCAAUGGGGGCAACCCUGACCGAGCAACGCCGCGUGAGUGAAGAAGGUUUUCGGAUCGUAAAGCUCUGUUGUAAGUCAAGAACGAGUGUGAGAGUGGAAAGUUCACACUGUGACGGUAGCUUACCAGAAAGGGACGGCUAACUACGUGCCAGCAGCCGCGGUAAUACGUAGGUCCCGAGCGUUGUCCGGAUUUAUUGGGCGUAAAGCGAGCGCAGGCGGUUUGAUAAGUCUGAAGUUAAAGGCUGUGGCUCAACCAUAGUUCGCUUUGGAAACUGUCAAACUUGAGUGCAGAAGGGGAGAGUGGAAUUCCAUGUGUAGCGGUGAAAUGCGUAGAUAUAUGGAGGAACACCGGUGGCGAAAGC
Molecule: ribosomal RNA, 677 nt
Filed under: uncultured Bacilli bacterium
Lineage: Bacteria; Bacillati; Bacillota; Bacilli
Description: bacterial SSU rRNA
Rfam family: Bacterial small subunit ribosomal RNA
Source: RNAcentral